RNAcentral lists this ribosomal RNA (1455 nucleotides) under human gut metagenome. Its description in RNAcentral is "bacterial LSU rRNA". It matches the Rfam family "Bacterial large subunit ribosomal RNA", at positions 495 to 1977 of the family's 2925-position model. The record is from RNAcentral.
AUAGUACUGUGAAGGAAAGGUGAAAAGGACCCCGGGAGGGGAGUGAAAGAGAACCUGAAACCCUGUGUUUACAAGCUGUGGAAGUUCUUUAAAUGAACAACCGCGUACUUUUUGUAGAACGGUCCGGCGAGUUGCGGAUACUGGCAAGGUUAAGCACUUAAGGUGCGGAGCCGAAGGGAUACCAAGUCUUAACAGGGCGUUAAGUCAGUAUACGCAGACCCGAAACCGGGUGAUCUAUCCAUGUCCAGGUUGAAGUUGUCGUAAAAGACAAUGGAGGACCGAAGCCACAUCCGUUGAAAAGGGUGGGCAUGAGGUGUGGAUAGGGGAGAAAUUCCAAUCGAACCCGGAGAUAGCUGGUUCUCCUCGAAAUAGCUUUAGGGCUAGCCUCGAUUUAGUCUUAUGGAGGUAGAGCACUGAAUUUCCGCGGGGGCGUCAAAGCUUACCAAAGAAUAUCAAACUCCGAAUGCCAUGUAGAUGAUGAUCGGGAGUCAGACUGCACGAGAUAAGUUGGGCAGUCAAAAGGGAAAGAGCCCAGACCACCGGCUAAGGUCCCAAAGUGCGUGUUAAGUGGAAAAGGAUGUGGGAAUUCGAAGACAACUAGGAUGUUGGCUCAGAAGCAGCCAUACAUUCAAAGAGUGCGUAACAGCUCACUAGUCGAGAGUUCCUGCGCCGAAAAUGUCCGGGGCUGAAACACGACACCGAAGCCGUGGACUCGCAAUGCGAGUGGUAGAGGAGCAUUCUUAAAACCGACGAAGCUGUACCGGAAGGAGCAGUGGAGGGAUAAGAAGAGAGAAUGCCGGAAUGAGUAGCGAGAGAAAGGUGGGAAUCCUUUCGGCCGAAUAUCUAAGGUUUCCAGAGUAAAGCUGAUCUGCUCUGGGUAAGUCGGGGCCUAAGCACAGGUCGCAAGACGUAAGCGAUGGAUAACAGGUUUAGAUUCCUGUACCACGCAUUAUCAGAACUGUAGGGACGCAUGUGGAAAGCACGGGCCGGGAAUGGAAAAACCGGUACAAGCGGGGUAGGUGUACAAUAGGCAAAUCCGUUGUAUAAUCCGAAGACGUGAUGUGGAGCGAAAUAAAGUAGUGAAGCGUGUGAGCCAUGUGCCGAGAAAAGCUGCUAUUGUGUAAUGCGUGCCCGUACCGUAAACCGACACAGGUGGAUGAGGAGAGAAUCCUAAGGCCGACGGAAGAAGCAUUGUUAAGGAAUUCGGCAAAAUGACCCCGUAACUUCGGGAGAAGGGGUGCCUGCGAGAGCAGGCCGCAGAGAAUAGGCUCAAGCAACUGUUUAGCAAAAACACAGGUCUAUGCGAAACCGAAAGGUGAAGUAUAUGGGCUGACGCCUGCCCGGUGCUGGAAGGUUAAGAGGAGAGGUUAGCGUAAGCGAAGCUUUGAAUUUAAGCCCCAGUAAACGGCGGCCGUAACUAUAACGGUCCUAAGGUAGCGAAAUUCCUUGUCGGGU